Molecule: ribosomal RNA, 119 nt
Organism: Vigna angularis (adzuki bean)
Lineage: Eukaryota; Viridiplantae; Streptophyta; Magnoliopsida; Fabales; Fabaceae
Source: Rfam
AAGUGUGAUCAUACCACCACUAAUGCAUCGGAUCCCAUCAGAACUUGGUAGUUAUGCGUGCUUGGGCGAGAGUAGUACUAGGAUGGGUGACCUCCUUGAAAGUCCUCGUGUUGCACCUC